RNAcentral lists this ribosomal RNA (253 nucleotides) under uncultured bacterium. RNAcentral describes it as "partial 16S ribosomal RNA". It matches the Rfam family "Bacterial small subunit ribosomal RNA", at positions 524 to 776 of the family's 1533-position model. The record is from RNAcentral.
UACGAAGGGUGCAAGCGUUACUCGGAAUUACUGGGCGUAAAGCGUGCGUAGGUGGUUCGUUAAGUCUGUCGUGAAAGCCCCCGGCUCAACUGGGGAGGGUCACUCGAUACUGAUCGACUCGAAGGCAGGAGAGGGAAGCGGAAUUCCCGGUGUAGUGGUGAAAUGCGUAGAUAUCGGGAGGAACACCAGUGGCGAAGGCGGCUUCCUGGCCUGUUAUUGACGCUGAGGCGCGAAAGCUAGGGGAGCAAACGGG